UGUUUUUGCUUGUUGGUAGACUUAUGA
This 27-nucleotide non-coding RNA is filed under the name Rattus norvegicus (Norway rat). Lineage: Eukaryota; Metazoa; Chordata; Mammalia; Rodentia; Muridae. The record is from RNAcentral.